GACGAACGCUGGCGGCGUGCCUAAUACAUGCAAGUCGAGCGAACUUAUGAGAGCUUGCUCUCAUAAGUUAGCGGCGGACGGGUGAGUAACACGUGGGCAACCUGCCUAUAAGACUGGGAUAACUUCGGGAAACCGGAGCUAAUACCAGAUAAUUCUUUUCUACACAUGUAGGAAAGCUGAAAGACGGUUUACGCUGUCACUUAUAGAUGGGCCCGCGGCGCAUAGCUAGUUGGUGAGGUAACGGCUCACCAAGGCCACGAUGCGUAGCGACCUGAGAGGGUGAUCGGCCACACUGGGACUGAGACACGGCCCAGACUCCUACGGGAGCAGCAGUA
Molecule: ribosomal RNA, 335 nt
Filed under: uncultured bacterium
Lineage: Bacteria
Description: bacterial SSU rRNA
Rfam family: Bacterial small subunit ribosomal RNA
Source: RNAcentral